Molecule: unclassified non-coding RNA, 130 nt
Filed under: Fusarium tricinctum
Lineage: Eukaryota; Fungi; Ascomycota; Sordariomycetes; Hypocreales; Nectriaceae
Description: ITS1
Source: RNAcentral
CUCCCAAACCCCUGUGAACAUACCUUAAUGUUGCCUCGGCGGAUCAGCCCGCGCCCCGUAAAACGGGACGGCCCGCCAGAGGACCCAAACUCUAAUGUUUCUUAUUGUAACUUCUGAGUAAAACAAACAA